Molecule: long non-coding RNA, 919 nt
Filed under: Salvia miltiorrhiza (redroot sage)
Lineage: Eukaryota; Viridiplantae; Streptophyta; Magnoliopsida; Lamiales; Lamiaceae
Description: long non-coding RNA (SMIL_LNC004347)
Source: RNAcentral
ACGAUUAAUUUCGAAUAAUCAUUAAAAAUCAUGUUUAAUUCAUAUAAAACAUUUUUAUAUUCGAGUAAGGGUUAUUCGGUCAAUUGAAGCAUACACAAAAUCUAGAAAUUAUAUCACUUCCAAAAAAAACUCAACCCCUUUCUAGCCCUUCCGAAUAACACGCCUCCAUCACCCCCAUUAAUUUGUCGUCUCAUUCUCUCUCUCUAAUCUCUCAAUUUUGCUUGUGGCUGGUAGAGUGGCGGAGCGUCCAUUUCUCUUAUCGAAUCAUGAAUAUCUGGUAGAGUGGAGCGUCUCCGAUCUUGAUUUAGUAGCCUGCAAUUCGAGGUUGAUCUCGCGAUUCUGUUGUCGGAUCCCCUCUUUUUUCCAUUGCGGUCGAAGGUGAAAAGCGAUUCUGCUGCCGGAUCCCCUCUCUUUUCCAUUGCGGUCAAAGGUGAAGGGCAUUUUCCGUUGCGGUCGAAGGUGAACGGCAAUUCUGCUGCCGGACCCCUUCUCUUUUUUUCUCGUUUCUUUCGGUGCGUCGAGGCACUUUCGCCUCCCUCUCCUGCCACAGGCAAAGUCGCGACCACCGACCCCGCCUCCUUCUCUGUCUUCUGAAAGGAUCUUCACCGCUGUCGCCUCUGAAAAAAAUUCCAGCCCCUGAUGUUCGCACUAUUUUUCCGAUUGGAGAUAGUAGGCAACCGACACCAAGACUUUCGAAUAACUUGUUUUUCUUCAUAUUUUGGUGAAAUAUGCUUCUGAAUCAUCUUCAUAUAUACCACUAUUGAAUGUAUAAUCAUGUUAGUCUUUCUUCACGAGUUUUUUCUCUUUUGCUGAAUUACUUAAAUUUUGGAAUUUUAGGGAUAUGUCUGUAAUCUAAAAUUUAUCUUGAGCUUAAUUACUGGAAAUUUGGGGGAAAUUCAUGUGUUUAGGAAACCUGGAU